Ictalurus punctatus (channel catfish) is the source of this 1104-nucleotide long non-coding RNA. The record is from Ensembl. NCBI's taxonomy places the organism in Eukaryota, Metazoa, Chordata, Actinopteri, Siluriformes, Ictaluridae.
CACCAACCGCAUCUACAACAGCUCUCUACUCAAGUCCAACUCUUCUGAUUAUGCGAUCUUGUACAAACAAGUUACUGACAUGCUCAACUCCAUCUACGGCUGUGCCACGUGUAAAACACACGUGUUUUAUGGCAAUGUGUCAGCGAUGACCUUCAGCAAUCAAACUGGAACCGUGCUCGUAAAGGCUAGUCUCGUGUUCCAGUCAAACAAAACCAACGCUGAUGAGAUCAAAGGGCUGUUUAUGAACGCGACCGCUGCCGAUAAGGAAAUAAACGGCCUUAAAGUCAACCCUAAUUUCACACAAGUUUCAGUGAAAUCUGAGGAGGCUCCGAAUGCUUUAGUGACUUACGAGCUCACCAUGGACAUCACCAACCGCAUCUACAACAGCUCUCUACUCAAGUCCAACUCUUCUGAUUAUGCGAUCUUGUACAAACAAGUUACUGACAUGCUCAACUCCAUCUACGGCUGUGCCACGUGUAAAACACACGUGUUUUAUGUCAAUGUGUCAGCGAUGACCUUCAGCAAUCAAACUGGAACUGUGCUCGUAAAGGCUAGUCUCGUGUUCCAGUCAAACAAAACCAACGCUGAUGAGAUCAAAGGGCUGUUUAUGAACGCGACCGCUGCCGAUAAGGAAAUAAACGGCCUUAAAGUCAACCCUAAUUUCACACAAGGGCUGUUUAUGAACGCGACCGCUGGCGAUAAGGAAAUAAACGGCCUUAAAGUCAACCCUAAUUUCACACAAGUCAUAGCACCACCGUCCACCCCUGCACCAACUGUCUCCAGCACUUCCCAUACAACCAAGUCUCCACUUCUUGCAACUACACACUACAACACCGCCUCGUCCUUUAAUCAAAGUCCCAUUGCUCUGACGUCAAUUCUCCGCUAUACUGUUUCGUUCUGCCUGCUUUACUUCCUCAGCUAUUCUUUUUAAUUGUGUAAACCUGCCACUAGGGGCAGUGCAACAUCUUUAUAUAAUGAAAUACGUUAAUCUACAGGGUGUACCAACAAUCUCCUUACAUAGUGGACUAUGUUCACCAGCAUCACGUCGGUUGUGUCUUUAUGAGUGGAUGUUGGUGAAUGUCCACUUCUCGGUCUGCAACACUU